GACGAACGCUGGCGGCGUGCUUAACACAUGCAAGUCGAACGGAAAGGCCCUGCUUUUGUGGGGUGCUCGAGUGGCGAACGGGUGAGUAACACGUGAAUAACCUGCCCUUGACUUUGGGAUAACUUCAGGAAACUGGGGCUAAUACCGGAUAGGAGCUCCUGCUGCAUGGUGGGGGUUGGAAAGUUUCGGCGGUUGGGGAUGGACUCGCGGCUUAUCAGCUUGUUGGUGGGGUAGUGGCUUACCAAGGCUUUGACGGGUAGCCGGCCUGAGAGGGUGACCGGCCACAUUGGGACUGAGAUACGGCCCAGACUCCUACGGGAGGCAGCAGUGGGGAAUAUUGCACAAUGGGCGGAAGCCUGAUGCAGCAACGCCGCGUGCGGGAUGACGGCCUUCGGGUUGUAAACCGCUUUCGCCUGUGACGAAGCGUGAGUGACGGUAAGGGGUAAAGAAGCACCGGCUAACUACG
Molecule: ribosomal RNA, 466 nt
Filed under: uncultured bacterium
Lineage: Bacteria
Description: partial 16S ribosomal RNA
Rfam family: Bacterial small subunit ribosomal RNA
Source: RNAcentral